RNAcentral lists this ribosomal RNA (415 nucleotides) under uncultured prokaryote. Its description in RNAcentral is "bacterial SSU rRNA". It matches the Rfam family "Bacterial small subunit ribosomal RNA", at positions 505 to 918 of the family's 1533-position model. The record is from RNAcentral.
GUGCCAGCAGCCGCGGUAAUACGUAGGUGGCGAGCGUUAUCCGGAUUUACUGGGCGUAAAGAGUGCGUAGGCGGUUCUUUAAGUCGGAUGUGAAAUCUCCCGGCUUAACCCGGAGGGGUCAUUAGAAACUGUUGGACUAGAGGACAGCAGAGGGAGGUGGAAUUCCCGGUGUAGUGGUGAAAUGCGUAGAUAUCGGGAGGAACACCAGUGGCGAAGGCGGCCUCCUGGGCUGUUUCUGACGCUGAGGCUCGAAAGUGUGGGGAGCGAACAGGAUUAGAUACCCUGGUAGUCCACACUGUAAACGAUGGACACUAGGUAUGGGGAGUAUCGACCCUCUCUGUGCCGAAGCUAACGCUUUAAGUGUCCCGCCUGGGGACUACGGCCGCAAGGCUAAAACUUAAAUGAAUUGACGGGG